CUCCUCCGGGGCGCAGCAGUGAGGAAUAUUGGUCAAUGGACGCAAGUCUGAACCAGCCAUGCCGCGUGCAGGAAGACGGCUCUAUGAGUUGUAAACUGCUUUUGUACGAGGGUAAACGCAGAUACGCGUAUCUGUCUGAAAGUAUCGUACGAAUAAGGAUCGGCUAACUCCGUGCCAGCAGCCGCGGUAAUACGGAGGAUUCAAGCGUUAUCCGGAUUUAUUGGGUUUAAAGGGUGCGCAGGCGGGAGAUCAAGUCAGCGGUAAAAUGUCGGGGCUCAACCCCGGCCGGCCGUUGAAAACGGUUU
RNAcentral lists this ribosomal RNA (305 nucleotides) under uncultured bacterium. Its description in RNAcentral is "bacterial SSU rRNA". It matches the Rfam family "Bacterial small subunit ribosomal RNA", at positions 336 to 639 of the family's 1533-position model. The record is from RNAcentral.